GACGAACGCUGGCGGCGUGCCUAAUACAUGCAAGUCGAACGAGAGCGACCGGUGCUUGCACUGGUCAAUCUAGUGGCGAACGGGUGAGUAACACGUGGGUAACCUGCCCAUCAGAGGGGGAUAACAUUCGGAAACGGAUGCUAAAACCGCAUAGGUCCUUUAACCGCAUGGUUGAAGGAGGAAAAGAGGCGCAAGCUUCUGCUGAUGGAUGGACCCGCGGUGCAUUAGCUAGUUGGUGAGGUAACAGCUCACCAAGGCCGUGAUGCAUAGCCGACCUGAGAGGGUGAUCGGCCACAUUGGGACUGAGACACGGCCCAAACUCCUACGGGAGGCAGCAGUAGGGAAUCUUCCGCAAUGGACGCAAGUCUGACGGAGCAACGCCGCGUGAGUGAAGAAGGUUUUCGGAUCGCAAAACUCUGUUGUUAGAGAAGAACAAGUGCUAGAGUAACUGUUAGCGCCUUGACGGUAUCUAACCAGAAAGCC
RNAcentral lists this ribosomal RNA (483 nucleotides) under Granulicatella adiacens. RNAcentral describes it as "bacterial SSU rRNA". It matches the Rfam family "Bacterial small subunit ribosomal RNA", at positions 28 to 492 of the family's 1533-position model. The record is from RNAcentral. Lineage: Bacteria; Bacillati; Bacillota; Bacilli; Lactobacillales; Carnobacteriaceae.